This 74-nucleotide transfer RNA is filed under the name bacterium. Its description in RNAcentral is "tRNA-Ile". It matches the Rfam family "tRNA". Rfam says of the family: Transfer RNA (tRNA) molecules are approximately 80 nucleotides in length. Their secondary structure includes four short double-helical elements and three loops (D, anti-codon, and T loops). The record is from RNAcentral. RNAcentral also lists the same sequence under 4 other names.
GGGCCCGUAGCUCAGUUGGUUAGAGCAGGGGACUCAUAAUCCCUUGGCCGCAGGUUCGAGUCCUGCCGGGCCCA